Long non-coding RNA from Herpailurus yagouaroundi (jaguarundi), 379 nucleotides. RefSeq lists it as uncharacterized. Lineage: Eukaryota; Metazoa; Chordata; Mammalia; Carnivora; Felidae. The transcript is spliced from 2 exons. The record is from RefSeq and is a predicted model, not a curated record.
CACUUCCGGCCCGGUCUGGAGUGACUUCCGCCCAGCGCUGCGGGGCCGCAGUCGCGGCCACCUAACCCGCAGUCACGCCCCGCUUACGGCCGAGGGCGCUCGAGCAGAACUUUGAUAGGAUGCCGAAUUAAACUCACCGUGAAGCAAGUCCCACUGGACGAAAAUUUGGUCGUAGCAUUUCUCAGCUGUCUGGCUCCCUGAGACUCCACCGCGGAAGGCGCAGAAAGGCACGGGACUCUUCAAGAAACUCACGGCUUUUCAUCCCAGCCAGAAGGACGGGGGAAAGCAAAGACAGAGGUUGGAGCAAGUUUUAUUUUUCUGGGGACGGGGGAGGAGAAACUCAUCACAUUCAAUAAACCUCUUUCCUCUCGUCCCCCCC